Long non-coding RNA from Zonotrichia leucophrys gambelii, 1164 nucleotides. RefSeq lists it as uncharacterized. NCBI's taxonomy places the organism in Eukaryota, Metazoa, Chordata, Aves, Passeriformes, Passerellidae. The transcript is spliced from 3 exons. The record is from RefSeq and is a predicted model, not a curated record.
GGGCGCUGGGGUAAAACAUCCACUCCAGUUCGAUUGCCGGGCACCGAAGCAGCCAUCGGGAGAAGAUGCGCGUGUGGAGGGACACACGGACACACGCGGAGCGGACGGGGCGAGGUGGAGGGAGCAGCACGUGGGGAAUGGGCGGCAGCUCAGCUCGGGGUCCUGCAGGGCCUCCCCUCAUCCCCGCCUUCCUCACGGUUUUUCAGGUUUUUCAGGUGAAUAUUACUGUCUACUCUACAGUUGUCCAGUCUGUGAAUGGAAUGAGGAUUUUACUGAGCAGCAGUGAAGUCCUGAAGUCUGGGAACCCCACAAAUCCAAGCCAGGAGAAUGUGGAAAUUCACAUUUUAAUGUGGAUUUUAAUGGAAUAACUGCAAAUGCAGGGGUUUUCUGGAGCACAAGAAAAGGCAAUUAAUGGCAGCCCCAGGAUUGGAUCAGAUUCAUCAUCAAUGUGGAAAUUCACAUUUUUAACGUGGAUUUUAAUGGAAUAACUGCAAAUGCAGGGUUUUCUGGAGCAGCAGUGUCAGAUUCAUCAUUCCUGCCUUUGUUUGGGAACCCCUCAAAUCCAAGCCAGGAGAAUGUGGAAAUUCACAUUUUAAUGUGGAUUUUAAUGGAAUAACUGGAAAAUGCAGGAGUUUUCUGGAGCACAAGCAAAGGCAAUUAAUGGCAGCCUCAGGAUUGGAGUCAGAUUCAUCAUUCCUGCCUUCAUCAGGGAAUUCCACAAAUCCAAGCCAGGAGAAUGUGGAAAUUCAUAUUUUAAUGUGGAUUUUAAUGGAAUAACUGCAAAUGCAGGGGUUUUCUGGAGCACAAUAAAAGGCAAUUAAUGGCAGCCCCAGGAUUGGAGUCAGAUUCAUCAUCAAUGUGGAAAUUCACAUUUUAAUGUGGAUUUUAAUGGAAUAACUGCAAAUGCAGGGUUUUCUGGAGCAGCAAGCAAAAGCAAUUAAUGGCAGCCCCAGGAUUGGAGUCAGAUUCAUCAUUCCUGCCUUUGUUUGGGAACCCCACAAAUCCAAGCCAGGAGAAUGUGGAAAUUCACAUUUUAACGUGGAUUUUAAUGGAAUAACUGCAAAUGCAGGGGUUUUCUGGAGCAGCAAGCAAAGGCAAUUAAUGGCAGCCCCAGGAUUGGAGUCAGAUUCAUCAUCAGAUCCAUUUGAUUGGAGUCAGAUUGGA